This 451-nucleotide ribosomal RNA is filed under the name uncultured bacterium. RNAcentral describes it as "bacterial SSU rRNA". It matches the Rfam family "Bacterial small subunit ribosomal RNA", at positions 340 to 782 of the family's 1533-position model. The record is from RNAcentral.
UACGGGAGGCAGCAGUGGGGAAUAUUGCACAAUGGGCGCAAGCCUGAUGCAGCCAUGCCGCGUGUAUGAAGAAGGCCUUCGGGUUGUAAAGUACUUUCAGUCGUGAGGAAGGUGUUAAGGUUAAUAACCUUAGCAAUUGACGUUAGCGACAGAAGAAGCACCGGCUAACUCCGUGCCAGCAGCCGCGGUAAUACGGAGGGUGCGAGCGUUAAUCGGAAUUACUGGGCGUAAAGGGCACGCAGGCGGUUAAUUAAGUUGGAUGUGAAAUCCCCGGGCUUAACCUGGGAAUGGCAUUCAAGACUGGUUAGCUAGAGUCUUGUAGAGGGGGUAGAAUUCCAUGUGUAGCGGUGAAAUGCGUAGAGAUGUGGAGGAAUACCGGUGGCGAAGGCGGCCCCUGGGACAAAGACUGACGCUCAUGUGCGAAAGCGUGGGGAGCGAAACAGGGAUUAGA